This 482-nucleotide ribosomal RNA is filed under the name uncultured bacterium. Its description in RNAcentral is "partial 16S ribosomal RNA". It matches the Rfam family "Bacterial small subunit ribosomal RNA", at positions 30 to 507 of the family's 1533-position model. The record is from RNAcentral.
AUUGAACGCUGGCGGCAUGCCUUACACAUGCAAGUCGAACGGUAACGAGCCUUCGGGUGCCGACGAGUGGCGAACGGGUGAGUAAUACAUCGGAACGUGCCCGAUCGUGGGGGAUAACGAGGCGAAAGCUUUGCUAAUACCGCAUACGAUCUACGGAUGAAAGCAGGGGACCGCAAGGCCUUGCGCGGACGGAGCGGCCGAUGGCAGAUUAGGUAGUUGGUGGGAUAAAAGCUUACCAAGCCGACGAUCUGUAGCUGGUCUGAGAGGAUGAUCAGCCACACUGGGACUGAGACACGGCCCAGACUCCUACGGGAGGCAGCAGUGGGGAAUUUUGGACAAUGGGCGCAAGCCUGAUCCAGCCAUGCCGCGUGCAGGAUGAGGGCCUUCGGGUUGUAAACUGCUUUUGUACGGAACGAAAAGCCUUCUUUUAAUACAGGAGGGUCAUGACGGUACCGUAAGAAUAAGCACCGGCUAACUACGUG